AGUAAAGUGGCGUACGGGUGAGUAACACGUGGAUCAUCUACCUCUUUGUGGGGAAUAACCAAGGGAAACCGUGGCUAAUACCGCAUAAGCUCGAGAGAGGAAAGUCGAAAGACGCAGAGAGAGGAGUCCGCGGCUGAUUAGCUAGUUGGUAGGGUAAAAGCCUACCAAGGCGAAGAUCGGUAGCCGGCCUGAGAGGGCACACGGCCACACUGGCACUGAAACACGGUCCAG
This 231-nucleotide ribosomal RNA is filed under the name uncultured bacterium. Its description in RNAcentral is "partial 16S ribosomal RNA". It matches the Rfam family "Bacterial small subunit ribosomal RNA", at positions 89 to 334 of the family's 1533-position model. The record is from RNAcentral.